This 275-nucleotide ribosomal RNA is filed under the name uncultured bacterium. RNAcentral's name for it is "partial 16S ribosomal RNA". It matches the Rfam family "Bacterial small subunit ribosomal RNA", at positions 333 to 599 of the family's 1533-position model. The record is from RNAcentral.
UGCUUCCUACGGGGGGCAGCAGUAGGGAAUCUUCGGCAAUGGACGAAAGUCUGACCGAGCAACGCCGCGUGAGUGAAGAAGGUUUUCGGAUCGUAAAACUCUGUUGGUAGAGAAGAACGUUGGUGAGAGUGGAAAGCUCAUCAAGUGACGGUAACUACCCAGAAAGGGACGGCUAACUACGUGCCAGCAGCCGCGGUAAUACGUAGGUCCCGAGCGUUGUCCGGAUUUAUUGGGCGUAAAGCGAGUGCAGGCGGUUCAAUAAGUCUGAUGUGUAA